UGCUCUCUGCCCUGUUCGUGAGGCGCGAUGCCCACACGGAAUAUCUUUAGAUCGGGAUCUCUUCAGGACGGUUGUGAGCAAGCCCAUCCUCUGGAAUGGGAAGCCUGAUACCCUCACAAGAGGCCCCACCUCGUUGGUCUUCGCUGUGAGGCCAACUGCCCACGGCAAGAGUGGAGAGCUU
Molecule: non-coding RNA, 181 nt
Filed under: Deltaproteobacteria bacterium
Lineage: Bacteria; Pseudomonadati; Myxococcota; Myxococcia
Description: 6S RNA
Rfam family: 6S / SsrS RNA
About the family: E. coli 6S RNA was the first non coding RNA to be sequenced, but its function was unknown until recently.
Source: RNAcentral